Molecule: unclassified non-coding RNA, 317 nt
Filed under: uncultured Spizellomycetales
Lineage: Eukaryota; Fungi; Chytridiomycota; Chytridiomycetes; Spizellomycetales
Description: sequence contains 5.8S rRNA gene, ITS2, 28S rRNA gene
Source: RNAcentral
AACGCACAUUGCGCUUCCUGGUAUUCCGGGGAGCAUGCCCGUUUCAGAAUCAUUAAAAAUCUCACAUAACUGGGUGCUUUCGGGCAUUUGGCCAAUGUGGAUUUGGAUUUUUGCGUUAGCAAUCAUCUUAAAAUGAUUGUAUGUGCACCAAAUGAUGUUUUGGUUGUUAUAAGUGCAACAGAUUUAUCUAUUACGCUUUUGGCAAUUGAAUGCAUUGUUGGGAGUGCAUACUCAAACCAUUACACGGCGGACGCAUCGGAUGAGGCGGCUGCUGAUAACUUGGUCUGAAAUCGGGCAAGAAAACCCGCUGAACUUAA